Molecule: long non-coding RNA, 1941 nt
Organism: Equus caballus (horse)
Lineage: Eukaryota; Metazoa; Chordata; Mammalia; Perissodactyla; Equidae
Source: Ensembl
CCGAUGGGAGUUAGGUGGCGAGGAAAUUUUAGAUGUGUUUUUAGCAGUAUAGAGGUAAGAAACUUAGUGAUAAUAAUGCUGCUAUAAUUAGUAUUAUGUUGAUAAUUCAUUUGAAACAUAAUUCCAUGUAGGAGGCCAAAGCUGAAACUUGGAAUUGGUGCCUCCUUAGUGGUGUUAAUAAUGCAAAUGAAUUAGCCUUAUUUUCAAGGCUUUUAUAAAUGGUUAUCAUUCUUUUAACCCAUAUUUGUGCCUUUUCAUUUUAAUGCUGGAAUUUUUCUAUGUAAACUUUUAAAAAAGUCUUUAAAUCACCAAAUUUGGCUAAUAGUUUUCUCUUUCAGUGUCAUUAGCAACUGUAGCUAUCAUUCUGUAAUUUUAAUUGUCCUCUGUUUUUUGGAAAUUGCACCAAAUUUUUGCUAACUUUCUAAGAUUUCAGGUCUUUAAAUCACAAGAGGGAUUCUUGGCAUGGCCAAUGUGCACACUUUCAUCCUGAAGUGUUUUCCCCUUCACUAGAAAUGUGCUUUUCUAUAAAUUCUCUUUGAAUUUAUAGUGUGAUGCCAAAUAAAAUUUUCUCAGGAUUUCAUUAGGUUGAGCUAUAUGAAAUUGCCGAGAUUUUACCUUUUUAACUUAAAAAAACCAAAGUUUCUUAUGGUUUACCCUAAUAGAUACCUCCUUUACCCUCUAAACCAAAUACUUAGAGGACUUUGGAAUAUAUAUUUUGAAUACAACUUUUUAAAAUACAGUAAUCCUAUUAAACUUAUUUUUAUAGUCUUUUUCCCUUUGAAGUUAUAUGUAAUAAUGCUUCAUAUCAUAUGUUAAAUUUAAAGACCCAUGAGUCCACGGUUGAUUGGCUUUUGUAGUUUCUUGAAUAGAAAAAAAAAAUCACAGUUAAAUUCUAGUAUAGUAAGCAUAUUAUACAGUAAGAUAUUAAACGUCACUGCUGCACCGUUAUACUAACAUGAUGAAUGCAGACAACAUAUUUUAUAUCUGGAACUUCAUCAGGCCAGUACUCUGCAGUUAAAGAGAGAAUUUAAUAUUUAGAAAAGCUUGGGAGGUUGCUCAGGAAGCAGGGUGUAGAUGCAAAUGAUUCUUUGUUACAAUGAACCCUUUAUUGGUGAGGCUUUGAUGGUCUCCAGCUCUUACUGUGUCAGACCUCGCAUCUAUUAUUAUCUUAAGCCUGCGAAUUUGAAAGAUUAUAGACUCUCUCCCACCCUUUCAUCACAAUUCUUCCAAAGUAAGAAAGAUCUUGGCUUCUGAGGUUUAUGCCUUGGUGAGAAAGGAUCUUUUCCAAUAGUUCCAAGAGAAAAUUUUUGACUUGCUGAUCUUCCCAAAUGCUUCCCACUUGACAAAUCCUAAAUGAAGUCUACGUAGGGGAGUCACACUAUCAUUAUAACUUUAGCCUAAUCCACAACAUGGGAGUUAGAGUUGCAAAAGCAUCAUUUUGCGAGUAUCUUAGAUAAUUACAGAAUCGGAGCAUUUAGAGUUCAAAGGUUAGAAAUCCUCUUGUAGGAGCCAUGCUCCACAGAUAGGGCUGUAAAGGAGGGGACCUGCCCAAAAUGGGUUUCUAUGGCCUUCUCCCCUCCCUUAGUUCCAUGAUAAAGUAUGGAAAGCCAACCACCGCUUGAGCUACAGAAGGUAAAUUAACUCUCAGGGAACCCUGUCCUGGUUCUUCACCUUGCACAAUAAAAGAACCUAUGGGACUUUGAAAGUUAAAUCCCUUUGGGCCUGUACACUAGAGACGUGUUUUAUUUCAAUGGUGUGGUUUAAGUACUUGAAUGUCACAAUAUCUGACCAAGGUUGGAGAAAAUGUUUCUUCUGCCAACUUUUACAAGGCACGAUUCUUAAACACUUUUAUAAUGUCCAAGUAUAUACAAGGAUAUGUAUUGUAACAAUUAUGGGUGUGUUUAUUUUACAAAAAUUAUAGUUUAUCUUGAAAAGGAAAAU